GAAAGAGACUUAGGACAGGAGGAGGGUGUUGGUUGUGUUUUGAAACAAAUGGCCUGGAAACUUGAAGAUGGAAUGUGGUGAUAAGAGUACUUGCCCUCAGCCAAGUGCAUGCCUUUAGUCCCAGUACUUGGGAGACAGAGGCAGGUGAAUCUCUUGUGAGUCUGAGGGCAGCCUGGUCUACAGAGAGAGUUCCAGGACAGUCAGGAAAACAGUGAAACCCAGUCUGAAAACCAAAACAAGCCAAAAGAAGUUCUUGCCAUACAUGACCAGACCAUCAUCCUACUCCAUGAAGGACUCGUGGGUCUCUUUGCUUGUCACUCUGCAGGCAGCAUUGAGUGUGACAGUCAUACAUGGAGUUCCAAUCAAGCCUGAGUCAUCAGGGACCGGGAAUUCUCCAAGUCAUCCUGGAACUAAGUCCUCCACCAGACAACAAGGUCCCUCUUAUGCUGGUUAUGAAGAUUGUCUUGCAUCUGCUCCUCAGAGCAUGAGAACCGAUUCUGUGAGUCCAUUGGCCCUGCAGCCAGAAUUCUGCGCUUCCUCCAUACCAUCAUCACCACGACCACCGUCGUCACCACAAACACUAUACCGCUAACACUAUAAUCUUACCAUCUUGACUAUUAGCAUCUAACGUGAGUGUGGAAGGUCAUAAUGGAAAAAUUGUAUUUAAAACCACAUGCCAGGCCAGUUCAGUUGAUUGGCUGCUUUUCUAGCAUGCAUCAAGUCCCGGGCUCAGUGUCCAAAAGCAUGAACCCUGGUGUGGAGGCUUACCGAUAGGGAGGAGGAGGCAAGUAAGUGAGAAGUUCAUGUCAGCAUUAGCUGCCUACUUAGUUCAAGACCCUGUUUCAAAAACAAACCAUUUGUCCAGAUAGAUGUGACUUUGAUUUCUUCACUGUGUUACCUCAGACAAGUUACACCUUUGUAUGCCAGUUUUUACAUUGAUUAUAUGGAGGUGACAAAAAGGCUCAGACGAUUAAGAUGAAAAAAAAAGGUGAUAUAUUGAAAAAAUUUGUUUUGAGACAGGAUGGAGACACAGCUGGCUUGGAAUUCACUAUGGGGACCCCAAUGAUGUUGACAUCUCUGUGAUCAUCCUGUCUCUUGACUGCCAGAGUCACAGGUGUGCAUCACUACACACAGGUGUAUACCCAACUCAAAGUCCAUUCUUCACGCGUUUCUUCUUCAGAAAUUCUUACAGAGAACGAAGAAGAUGUGAUUGAGGCAAAGGGGAUGUGCUAUGAAUGAAGGGUUGAGUUGCCAGCAGGCUGUGUAUGGAAUGAAGCAGCCAACUACAAAAUGAAAAACAUGCCAAUAAUACGUUUUAGCUUGGAAUUAUGUGCCAAGUGAAAUUAUGCCUACUUCUUUCUUUGUGGUUGCCGCCUGUACCCUCAUUUUGUGGCAGCAUCUUGGGUGACUCGAUUGAUCAGAACUUCAGAUUCUCCUGCCCCACCUUCCCAAGUGCAACACUUCACUUGGCUGCCUGCCCAUCUCCCCAUCUUUGGAAGCGGAGGCUCCUAUAGCCCUUCCCCUGCAUGCUGAAACCUAAUAGGUGCCGGCUUCUUCAGUUCCUGAAGUCUGACUGUAACAAAGCCUCAAGUCAAAAGGCGAGCAUGUGACUGACGCUCUUCAGGAGAGGUGUGUGUCCAAAGCAUUAUGAAGGAUACAUGAUUAUGGACCUGACCAAAAGAAAGGACCACUUUCUCUGAACUCACAGAAAAUGGUGUGCGUUCUGUGUUCUGUGUGCAGGACAUUUCGUUUGGCAUUGGACUGUACCACUUUCUGGUUCAUCUUCCUGUUGUAAUAUAUGCAUCACAGGGUUUGUGGGGUAGGCCGGAUUUGUCUCUGAAUUCCUACAGACAUGCACAGAAUUUACCACAAAGUGAGCUCCAAUAAAUAGCUACAGAGUAA
This is a long non-coding RNA of Mesocricetus auratus (golden hamster), 1902 nucleotides long. RefSeq lists it as uncharacterized. NCBI's taxonomy places the organism in Eukaryota, Metazoa, Chordata, Mammalia, Rodentia, Cricetidae. The transcript has 2 exons. The record is from RefSeq and is a predicted model, not a curated record.